UUGAAAUUUUUAACUAAAGUAACAGUACAAGUUUAACUAUUUCUCAAUAUCUUAAAUUAUUACAACUUUAGAGUUUAAAAACUAAUGUAAAUUGAGCCAAAACUCAUUGUGAGACAUAUUAAAUGGUUUUAUGGAGGAAUUAAAAGUAUCAAAGUUGGGCAACCAAAAUUGAUUUGUUCAAAGGAGAUAAGAGAUUGGUU
RNAcentral lists this long non-coding RNA (200 nucleotides) under Carica papaya (papaya). RNAcentral's name for it is "long non-coding RNA (CPAP_LNC006909)". The record is from RNAcentral. Lineage: Eukaryota; Viridiplantae; Streptophyta; Magnoliopsida; Brassicales; Caricaceae.